This 497-nucleotide ribosomal RNA is filed under the name uncultured bacterium. RNAcentral's name for it is "partial 16S ribosomal RNA". It matches the Rfam family "Bacterial small subunit ribosomal RNA", at positions 28 to 507 of the family's 1533-position model. The record is from RNAcentral.
GAUGAACGCUGGCGGCGUGCCUAAUACAUGCAAGUCGAGCGAACAGACGAGGAGCUUGCUCCUCUGACGUUAGCGGCGGACGGGUGAGUAACACGUGGAUAACCUACCUAUAAGACUGGGAUAACUUCGGGAAACCGGAGCUAAUACCGGAUAAUAUAUUGAACCGCAUGGUUCAAUAGUGAAAGACGGUUUUGCUGUCACUUAUAGAUGGAUCCGCGCCGCAUUAGCUAGUUGGUAAGGUAACGGCUUACCAAGGCGACGAUGCGUAGCCGACCUGAGAGGGUGAUAGGCCACACUGGAGCUGAGACACGGUCCAGACUCCUACGGGAGGCAGCAGUAGGGAAUCGGCCGCAACGGGCGAAAGCCUGACGGAGCAACGCCGCGUGAGUGAUGAAGGUCUUCGGAUCGUAAAACUCUGUUAUUAGGGAAGAACAAAUGUGUAAGUAACUAUGCACGUAUUGACGGUACCUAAUCAGAAAGCCACGGCUAACUACGUG